Molecule: ribosomal RNA, 407 nt
Filed under: uncultured prokaryote
Also listed under: 1 other name
Description: bacterial SSU rRNA
Rfam family: Bacterial small subunit ribosomal RNA
Source: RNAcentral
UGGGGAAUAUUGGGCAAUGGGCGCAAGCCUGACCCAGCAACGCCGCGUGAAGGAAGAAGGUCUUCGGAUUGUAAACUUCUGUCAUUGGGGACGAAGGAAGUGACGGUACCCAAUGAGGAAGCUGCGGCUAACUACGUGCCAGAAGCCGCGGUAAUACGUAGGGGGCGAGCGUUGUCCGGAAUUACUGGGCGUAAAGGGUGCGUAGGCGGCGAUGCAAGUCCAUUGUGAAAAGCCCGGGCUUAACCUGGGAGGUGCAGUGGAAACUGCAUGGCUUGAGUGCAGGAGAGGAAAGUGGAAUUCCUAGUGUAGCGGUGAAAUGCGUAGAUAUUAGGAGGAACACCAGUGGCGAAGGCGGCUUUCUGGACUGUAACUGACGCUGAGGCACGAAAGCGUGGGGAGCAAACAGG